AUUGAACGCUGGCGGCAGGCCUAACACAUGCAAGUCGAACGGUAACAGGAAGCAGCUUGCUGCUUUGCUGACGAGUGGCGGACGGGUGAGUAAUGUCUGGGAAACUGCCCGAUGGAGGGGGAUAACUACUGGAAACGGUAGCUCAUACCGCAUAACGUCGCAAGACCAAAGAGGGGGACCUUAGGGCCUCUUGCCAUCGGAUGUGCCCAGAUGGGAUUAGCUAGUAGGUGGGGUAACGGCUCACCUAGGCGACGAUCCCUAGCUGGUCUGAGAGGAUGACCAGCCACACUGGAACUGAGACACGGUCCAGACUCCUACGGGAGGCAGCAGUGGGGAAUAUUGCACAAUGGGCGCAAGCCUGAUGCAGCCAUGCCGCGUGUAUGAAGAAGGCCUUCGGGUUGUAAAGUACUUUCAGCGGGGAGGAAGGGAGUAAAGUUAAUACCUUUGCUCAUUGACGUUACCCGCAGAAGAAGCACCGGCUAACUCCGUG
This 490-nucleotide ribosomal RNA is filed under the name uncultured bacterium. Its description in RNAcentral is "partial 16S ribosomal RNA". It matches the Rfam family "Bacterial small subunit ribosomal RNA", at positions 30 to 507 of the family's 1533-position model. The record is from RNAcentral.